AGAUAAAAAAUAGCCAAAUGCCUCGUCAUCUAAUUAGUGACGCGCAUGAAUAGAUUAACGAGAUUCCCACU
This 71-nucleotide non-coding RNA is filed under the name Ixodes scapularis (black-legged tick). RNAcentral describes it as "Eukaryotic large subunit ribosomal RNA". It matches the Rfam family "Eukaryotic large subunit ribosomal RNA", at positions 2270 to 2340 of the family's 3401-position model. The record is from Rfam by way of RNAcentral. Lineage: Eukaryota; Metazoa; Arthropoda; Arachnida; Ixodida; Ixodidae.